GGGGACAGUGCAUGGUGGGCAGUUUGACUGGGGCGGUCUCCUCCCAAAGUGUAACGGAGGAGUUCGAAGGUACGCUAGGUACGGUCGGAAAUCGUGCUGAUAGUGCAAUGGCAUAAGCGUGCUUGACUGUGAGACUGACAAGUCGAACAGGUGCGAAAGCAGGACAUAGUGAUCCGGUGGUUCUGAAUGGAAGGGCCAUCGCUCAACGGAUAAAAGGUACUCUGGGGAUAACAGGCUGAUACCGCCCAAGAGUUCAUAUCGACGGCGGUGUUUGGCACCUCGAUGUCGGCUCAUCUCAUCCUGGGGCUGUAGCCGGUCCCAAGGGUAUGGCUGUUCGCCAUUUAAAGAGGUACGUGAGCUGGGUUUAAAA
This 370-nucleotide ribosomal RNA is filed under the name Achromobacter xylosoxidans. RNAcentral describes it as "bacterial LSU rRNA". It matches the Rfam family "Bacterial large subunit ribosomal RNA", at positions 2247 to 2616 of the family's 2925-position model. Lineage: Bacteria; Pseudomonadati; Pseudomonadota; Betaproteobacteria; Burkholderiales; Alcaligenaceae. The record is from RNAcentral.